Molecule: non-coding RNA, 71 nt
Organism: Podarcis lilfordi (Lilford's wall lizard)
Lineage: Eukaryota; Metazoa; Chordata; Lepidosauria; Squamata; Lacertidae
Source: the annotation of a GenBank genome assembly
GAGCUAUAGCUUAGUGGCAGAGCAUCUGCUUUGCAUGCAUAAGGUCCCAGGUUCAAUCCCCAGCAGCACCU